Non-coding RNA from Misgurnus anguillicaudatus (oriental weatherfish), 473 nucleotides. The record is from RefSeq and is a predicted model, not a curated record. Lineage: Eukaryota; Metazoa; Chordata; Actinopteri; Cypriniformes; Cobitidae.
UCCAUUGGAUUUUUUGAGGAAAUUAAGUGAAAACCUCUUUAAAUCCAUGUAUUCCUUCAUAGAGCGCCAGUCUGAUGUGCGCGCUCCACUGCUGCAGCACGCGCUUCUCUCUGCUACGCUCCUCCAGAACGCGCUUGCGAACUCACGUCACUCACGGUCGUUUACUUUUACCUCAGAGACAAACAUUAUUUUACAGAUUUCUUUACUUUCUUUCGUCAUUUAGUAACUUAAAUAUCAGAGAACAAAUAUUUUAGUGGUUUUCGAUCGAUUUUAAAGUCUAUAUGAAGACAGGGUGUUAGAAGCGUUUGAUUGGUGUAAAAACAAGAGAUAACGUUAGCUAGGCGGCUACUGCUCUGUGUUGAGAACUUGAAAAUGUGCUGUGCUGUAAAUGAGUAGGAACUGAUCUGUCCAUGCUGGAUAUAUUGAUGAUUUCAUCACAGAAAUCUCUCAGCUGAAGAAAGAGGUGGCGUUAC